GAUUCAAUAGCACAAUGGUUAGUGCACCUGCUAGCAAUACAUCCUCCUUUCUGAGUACGCAGGGAACCCUCGUUCGAUUCAGGGUUGGGUCA
Non-coding RNA from Mycena metata, 92 nucleotides. NCBI's taxonomy places the organism in Eukaryota, Fungi, Basidiomycota, Agaricomycetes, Agaricales, Mycenaceae. The record is from the annotation of a GenBank genome assembly.